AUAAAACAAAAAAAACGAAAUUAAAAGUGAAAACAAACAAACAAAAGAACAUUAAGAAUAAUUAAAAAAUAAAUAAAUUAAUAAUAUAUAUAAUGGUGUGAGUUGUCCAGCACCGAAAAGGCCCGCGCCUCAGCUUACACCGCUACAGAUGAGGUGGCAUCCACCCACCUGACGCGGCACUGGUUUUCAGUCGCGUCCUAGAGUGACUGUCAUUUGACCUACUUUUAUAAAAAAGAAAUAUAUAUAUUGUAUAUAGGUAUACGGUUAUACAUAAAUUUUAUACUUAAAUACCAAUACUGGAUAAUAUAAUAACAAUCAUAAAAACAUACACAUAAUAUAUAAAGCAAGAAUGUAUACAAUAAUAUGGUCCUAAUGCAGAAUAAACUAAUAAAAAUACUAAAUGAGGGUAAAUGUGCCUUCGGCGUUUCAGCGGGCGAGCGACACCGGUCACACCGGUCGCCUCGCUUGUUUCAGCGCUCAGAACAGCCCGUGCCGUCGGCUGAACACUACGGUGAAACAGUUUUACAAACACAAUAGAUACAGUGUGAGUGAAAAAGGAACACAAUUAGCACCACACAAGAUCUAUUUUUCAAUAGCAGAUAAUAUUGAAAAAUAAAAAAAAAGGUUAACGUUUCGUGAGAACAAAAGUGUAUUCCUGAUCAUAUGUAAAGGAUAGACGGUGAAGAGAUAGACAAGUGGAAGAUAAACGCAUAGACCGGCGGACUGAUCCCGUGGGAUUGAGUGGGAAACUAGUACCCUCCACGUGUCGUGACGAGAAUGCCAGUUACGCAAGCUUGGGUCUAGGCGGUUCCAACAGGAAGUAGCAUUAAAGGAGAACGAGGCUUUGAAUAUGGCGGUCUUGUGCUGAGGAGUGAGGAGCAGGUAUGAAGAGGCUCUCGUACGGUACAUAUUGAAGUCACGGGACCACCUUAGUUUAUCAUAAAGGUAUUCAGGUAUGUGUCUAUGUACUAUGCCAAAUAACAAACAAGCAAAAUGUAGGUACCGUCGGCUUGCUAUUUUUAACAAUCCACUGUUAUUUAUGAAGGGAGUGACGUGUGCCCGGGGGGGGAUGUCGUGACAGAAUCGAGCGCAAGCAUUUUGUACUCGCUGUAGCAGACGUUGUGUUUUCGCAUAAAGGCAAGGUCCAUAUACCGUAUCUGCAUAAUUUAAUUUAGACAGUACUAAACUCUCACAUAGUUUUAUACGCAAAUCGGUAUUAAUGUAAGGUCUAAUGCGGUACAGGACUUUUAGUCUAUAAAAACAACUUGAAACUAAGCACAGGAUAUGUUUUUCGAAACGCAGAUUGGAAUCAAAGCAGAUACCGAGAUUUCUAGCUUCAGUAACUUGUUCUAUAGAUUUCCCAGCUACCUUUAUAUCGGGUUUCAUUGCUUUAAUACCCUGUAUUUGUUUUCUAGAGCCUAUAAUAAGAAAUUUAGACUUUGUUGGAUUAAGUAGAAGUGAAUUCCUCUU
This is a long non-coding RNA of Plutella xylostella (diamondback moth), 1470 nucleotides long. RefSeq lists it as uncharacterized. NCBI's taxonomy places the organism in Eukaryota, Metazoa, Arthropoda, Insecta, Lepidoptera, Plutellidae. The record is from RefSeq and is a predicted model, not a curated record.